Molecule: long non-coding RNA, 1299 nt
Organism: Xenopus laevis (African clawed frog)
Lineage: Eukaryota; Metazoa; Chordata; Amphibia; Anura; Pipidae
Exons: 2
Source: RefSeq, a predicted model, not a curated record
GAUCUUAAUACCUGAAGUCUACUUACUACUGUAAGUCUACGUUAGAUCUUAGUUGGGAUCAAGUACAAGCUACUGUUUUUAUUUUUACAGAAAAAAAGGACAUCAUUUUUAAAAAUGGAUUAUAUAGAUAAAAUGGGAGAUGGCCUUUCUGUAAUUUGGAGCCUAUUUUGCUUUGCGCUCAGCUUGUCUGGCUUUUCAGGAUUCUGGGCUAUAAAAGAGAAAUAGCUGUGGAUUCCAAAAGCAGUGCCGAUCAUGCAUAUUUUACGCUUCCCUCUUUAUUUUAAUAGAAAUGCAUUUACGGUACUAUAGAUAAUAAAGAGCCUAAAGGCCACAGCCUCACAAGCUGCAAUUAAAUAUUUAUAGUUAAAAGCCUAUUACUUGCGCUCAUGUAAUGAGACAUCAUUAGUCCGUUUUUUAGAUGUAUAAUGCUGAAAUGUCAGCCAGUGCUCAUAACAUGCUGAUGUCAUUGUAGAAUUCAAGACAAUUAACGGCAGUCCCUACUGUGUUAUCCCUGUUCCCCACAAAGCUUCAUCUUCCCCGUCAUUGGGACAGAGUGAGGAAGAUGGGAGCUGUGUGUGUGCAGUAGGAUGAUGCUGAUUGCUCAGCCAAGGAGAGGAGAACAACGUCCCCAGGGCUCAGUGAGUCAGGGAAGCACUGUCGGCUGGGAAAGCUAGGGGAUUGCAAGUUGCAGCAUUGCUACAGGAACUGUCCGACGUCCUGAAACUGAACUCUUCCUUUCUUCUUUCCCUGGGAACUGCCUCUUUCUUAAAGCCUCCCUCUUCCCCAGUCCUUGGAUUCAAAACGGAAAUUGCAAAGCCUGGUGUAUGCUCCAGGUAAAGUACUCCGUUUUGAUGCCGGCCUUUUCCUUCUGUGUUCUCCUUUUACGUGCCCCAGCAAAGGACAUGGCGGUGAAAGGGCAGAUGACAGUCACGAGGGGGAGCCAGCAGACCUUAUGUGACUUGCAAGCUGUGUGCCUGUGAUGAUCCAGUCUCCCAGAGGAGGGAGAAAAGCGUAGCAGCAAAAAAAGCACAAGAGACCUCUAAAUAACCAGAGAGGCCAGGAGAGACUGGCUGGGAAGGUGAUCUGCCUGCUCAUCAAUGUAUAGGAGAGAGAAACUUGGGAAAGAUUUGGAGGAAGUGAAGAUACAGAACGCCAGCAAGCAGAUUGUAGAAACCGCCAUCCUGCAAGCUGUACAACAAGUAUAUCAGGAAGAUGAGAAAGAACAAAAUAAACCAAGCAGCAGAGCAGAGAGACAGUUACCAGACGGAAAAUGCAAUACAAAUAAUGAUAAGAAAUAAA